This 465-nucleotide ribosomal RNA is filed under the name uncultured bacterium. Its description in RNAcentral is "bacterial SSU rRNA". It matches the Rfam family "Bacterial small subunit ribosomal RNA", at positions 330 to 792 of the family's 1533-position model. The record is from RNAcentral.
CCCAGACUCCUACGGGAGGCAGCAGUGAGGAAUAUUGGUCAAUGGGCUUACGCCUGAACCAGCCAAGUCGCGUGAGGGAAGACUGCCCUAUGGGUUGUAAACCUCUUUUGCCGGGGAGCAAGCGUGCGUUCGUGAACGCGCGUCGAGAGUACCCGGAGAAAAAGCAUCGGCUAACUCCGUGCCAGCAGCCGCGGUAAUACGGAGGAUGCGAGCGUUAUCCGGAUUUAUUGGGUUUAAAGGGUGCGUAGGCGGGAUGCCAAGUCAGCGGUAAAAAUGCGGUGCUCAACGCCGUCGAGCCGUUGAAACUGGCGUUCUUGAGUGGGCGAGAAGUAUGCGGAAUGCGUGGUGUAGCGGUGAAAUGCAUAGAUAUCACGCAGAACUCCGAUUGCGAAGGCAGCAUACCGGCGCCCUACUGACGCUGAGGCACGAAAGCGUGGGUAUCGAACAGGAUUAGAUACCCCUGUA